Molecule: non-coding RNA, 20 nt
Filed under: Arabidopsis thaliana (thale cress)
Lineage: Eukaryota; Viridiplantae; Streptophyta; Magnoliopsida; Brassicales; Brassicaceae
Source: RNAcentral
GUCAGAGGUGAAAUUCUUGG